CUAGUGCUCGCAGUAAAAGGGUAUAUCGUAAGAAAAUUAAUUUUUUCAAUCCUAAGACCAUGUAUAUUUUUAAUCAGAAAGCGAGUCGAUCUGGCCAAAUUUUUUUUUGCAAGAGCCAGCUGGAUUUUGUAAACCAUUAAAACAAGAGCAAUCAAUCAUGUGCAUACAUACAUACAUAUGUACUAUGAUAUUUAACUGUACGUCCAUUUCUGUAACCUAGUGCUCCAAUCUAGUGCAACAAAUGAGAACAAUUCUGAGAAAAUAUGACUUAUGCAAGCUUGCAUAAAGACAAUAAUUUUUCAUAAGACUGACUAAAAACGACGCUAAUCAAUAUAAUAUUACAGAAAGCUGGAAUUAUAAUGAGUGGUCGAAAAAUAAAAAUACGCUAACUAAAGAGAAGUGCAUUGCACAGCAAUAAACAGAGAGCUGAAAAUUUUGGGACUAGAUUUAAUUGAAACAUACGGUUGAUUAGACAGACGGAUAUGACUUGAUCAAAAUUGCUUUGAAUUUGAAUAUUGUUUGUCAUAUACUUUUAUGUACGUUUUUUUAUAUGCUCGGAAUAUCGACUUU
This is a long non-coding RNA of Drosophila obscura, 570 nucleotides long. RefSeq lists it as uncharacterized. The record is from RefSeq and is a predicted model, not a curated record. The transcript is spliced from 3 exons. Lineage: Eukaryota; Metazoa; Arthropoda; Insecta; Diptera; Drosophilidae.